UCGCGAAAACUUUGCAAUACACGAAAGUGUGACAGGGUCAUCCCGAGUGCCGUCCGCUGAGGAUGGCUUUUACUCAGUCUAGAAAGCUGAGGGAAUAAGGAGAGGGCAAGUCUGGUGUCAGCCGCCGCGGUAAUACCAGCUCUCCGAGUGGUGUGGAUGUUUAUUGGGCCUAAAGCAUCCGUAGCUGGCUGGGCAAGUCCCCUGUUAAAUCCACCGAUUUAAUCGUUGGUUUGCGGGGGAAACUGCUCGGCUAGGGGACGAGAGAGGUAGACGGUAUUUCCGGGGUAGGGGUGAAAUCCUAUAAUCCCGGGAAGACCACCAGUGGCGAAGGCUGUCUGCUAGAACGCGCCCGACGGUGAGGGAUGAAAGCUGGGGGA
Molecule: ribosomal RNA, 377 nt
Filed under: uncultured crenarchaeote
Lineage: Archaea; Thermoproteati; Thermoproteota
Description: bacterial SSU rRNA
Rfam family: Archaeal small subunit ribosomal RNA
Source: RNAcentral